Molecule: ribosomal RNA, 398 nt
Filed under: uncultured bacterium
Lineage: Bacteria
Description: bacterial SSU rRNA
Rfam family: Bacterial small subunit ribosomal RNA
Source: RNAcentral
GGAAUAUUGGACAAUGGGCGAAAGCCUGAUCCAGCAAUGCCGCGUGAGUGAUGAAGGCCUUAGGGUUGUAAAGCUCUUUUGUCCGGGAAGAUAAUGACUGUACCGGAAGAAUAAGCCCCGGCUAACUUCGUGCCAGCAGCCGCGGUAAUACGAAGGGGGCUAGCGUUGCUCGGAAUCACUGGGCGUAAAGGGCGCGUAGGCGGAUACUUAAGUCAGGGGUGAAAGCCUGAGGCUCAACCUCAGAAUUGCCUUUGAUACUGAGUAUCUCGAGACCGGAAGAGGUAAGUGGAACUGCGAGUGUAGAGGUGAAAUUCGUAGAUAUUCGCAAGAACACCAGUGGCGAAGGCGGCUUACUGGUCCGGUUCUGACGCUGAGGCGCGAAAGCGUGGGGAGCAAAC